GAGUUGGUACAAAUCCUGUAGAGCGGAUGCCAGGAUGAGGGCUCUAGAGAAGUCCAUUAGAGGUUUCACAGCCAGAGAUUGAGAUAAGGUGAUCAAGCCAGAAUUGGGCACCACAUUUGACUUGUGAUGGAGGCGUACGGCUUCUAAAACCUGUUUUCUUGGGAGCAUGGAUUUGGUAUCAGAUAUGUAAAGAGUCGUCUUGUUACAGCCUGACAGAACACAAACAUUUUACUUUUUUCAAAUGAUGAUCACACUCCAUGAUGCAGGCGAAAUUAGUUCUUUACCAGAUAUUCUGGACUAGUGAGUGUGUGUGCAACCAUUUACUGAGUAGUGUGCACAGCCAUCAGGGUCACCAGUGCAUAAAUUUGUGACUCGGUACAUGAGGCUACAAUUUGACACACAAGUUGAGGAGAACUACAAAGAGGAACCGACCAAAAUUGGUGGAGUCGUUCUGCAGGUGAAUUUGUCAUUCGAGCGGCAUGCGACCAAAGCGUACACAAGAGCGAUGUUCGAGCAGUUUGGGGAGAUCCUUCUUGAAGCAGGUGGUUACCGUGUGGUAGAGUCGCAGAAAGAUGUGUUGUGCAGGGUGAGGCACACGCGGGCAGGCAGUAGGUAGAAUGGAGAAGGGUUGUAAUUCCCAAUGAAUAUGAUUGACGACGGAGCACGCUUUGAAAGCGAAUGUGGCCUAUCCUUUGUUGUCAUGUUAUAUGAAGGUCAUGGAUAAUAUUAACAUGACAGAAAUAUCAGAGAUCCACAUAGAGAAAAGACGGACAAAAGAUGCAAGAGACUUUUUGCCGGAUCACUUGAAGCACUACCAGCGGGACCAGAUCAAUAGCACGUCCCUAACUUUUCGGCACAACCAAAUGUAAAUUCGGGGUUGGAACUGGUUCAACUUGUAGAUGCAAGUGCUGAGGCAUAUGAAACUCUGUUGGGGCUUUUCGACCAGGUCAUGUCGGUGACCGAGCCCUUCGACAAAUGGCACAGCGGGCUAGGGCUUGAAGACUGUGGAUAACAAUAAUGUGGCAGAUACCGGUGGUGACUGGUGAGCACGCUGGGAGAAGUGCAUAUGAAGAUGACAGAAUGCCAGGCAACACGAACCCUCUGGUUGGCUUAACAGACCAAACAAGAAUAGAACCGCUGGCAGACCAACAAAUGCCCGAGGCAGGGUGCUGUACGAGGGGAUAAGCAAGAGAAGUAGGUUCUGCAUCAUAUGCAAAACCCAGGGCCACAAAAGAACAACUUGCCCGGAGAGAGGGGGCAUCCCGCAGCAGCCGAGAAAGAACGUCAAAUGCAGCAAUUGCGAUCUUGAAGGGGCAGGAAGAAUACUUGCGAGCGGAAAGCAGGAGAUGUGGUGAGGUCAAAGCUGGUACUGUCAAGUGUUAAGUGCUAAGUUAGAAACCGAUGUGUGGCUGUGUUUCAGCUUGUGGUGAUGGUGUGUUUCAGCUUGUGGUGAUGGUGUUUUUUUCUUUCAAUUUUGCUAUAAGGAAACUGACAU
This is a long non-coding RNA of Triticum aestivum (bread wheat), 1495 nucleotides long. RefSeq lists it as uncharacterized. The transcript has 3 exons. The record is from RefSeq and is a predicted model, not a curated record. Lineage: Eukaryota; Viridiplantae; Streptophyta; Magnoliopsida; Poales; Poaceae.